Molecule: long non-coding RNA, 1123 nt
Filed under: Cricetulus griseus (Chinese hamster)
Lineage: Eukaryota; Metazoa; Chordata; Mammalia; Rodentia; Cricetidae
Description: lncRNA (ENSCGRG00015040442.1)
Source: RNAcentral
CAACAACCUUAUUCUUAUAAAAUGUAUUUACUUAUAGACAGUGUCUUACAUAUCCCAAGUUGGCCUCCACAUUCAUAUGUAACUGAGAAUGACCUUGAACUCCUGAUCUCCUGAGUGCUGGGAUCAUGGGUUCGGGUACCGCAUUCAGUUUAUGCAGUGUGGGGUGUCAAACCCAGGCCUUUACUUCUUUUCUGAUUACAUUCACUUGUGCAUGUGUUUAUGUCCAUGCAUGUGCCAUGGGGCACUUAUGGAGGUUGGAAGACAACUUUAUUGUGGGAGCUGGUUCUCUCCUUCCACCAUAUAGGACCUGGGUAUUGAACUCAGGGGGUCAUGCCUAACCCUAACCCUCUGAGCCAUCUCACUGGCCCUGAACUGAAGCUUGAUAUGCAUGCUUGGAGAGCACUCUACCAGCGGAAAUUCUCCCAGCCUUGAGUAAAUUUGCUCUUUUAAGUGAAUUAUUGUUACCCAUGAAGACGAUGCUGGAGAAGAUAUCUUGCCAAAAGUAAACAGUCGUUAGUGUGCAUGAGAACCAGGGCUCUAUGUUACUUCAUCAAUCCACUGCUCUCCCUGGCAAAUGCUAUCUAUUCUUCUGAGAAAAGAAAAGGCAGUUGUCAUCAGCCCAGCCCUAUGUGCCAGGCUCUAUUUGUCAUCUCAGCCAGGAAUGGUGGCAUAUACCUUUGAUCCCAGCGCUCUGAGGCCAGGCUGGUCUACAUAUGCUUGUCCCUGCGCUAGCACAGACGAUAAGAACUCACAGUGUUCUCCACCAGCCACCCUUCUGCCCUCCCCCCGGAGAGGCAAGACAGGGGCAUGCGUGCUCCUCUGUUUAAAGCCAUCGCUGAUGUACAAACUCUGAGAAAAUAGACUUAAAAGUUUAUAUUCAGUCUCUCUUGGCUACUGUUGCUGCUCAGCAAAGAAACUCUAUAUUGUUUAAAGCCUCCAGGCAAACGGGUUGCAAGGCAACCUUCAAACAAUAGAAAAUACCCCAAACUAAAAAUAAGAGCAAGAAGGCUUGGGAAGCAUGAUGGUGGGGUUUUGGUGAAGUGGCCUUGCAGUUGAGGCAAAGGACACCCAGGUCACAUCAGCAUGCGAGCCAUUAUGCCCUUAUUGAGGCUUUUACAGCCAG